This 429-nucleotide ribosomal RNA is filed under the name Bacillota bacterium. RNAcentral's name for it is "Firmicutes bacterium partial 16S ribosomal RNA". It matches the Rfam family "Bacterial small subunit ribosomal RNA", at positions 355 to 776 of the family's 1533-position model. Lineage: Bacteria; Bacillati; Bacillota. The record is from RNAcentral.
UAGGGAAUCUUCGGCAAUGGACGGAAGUCUGACCGAGCAACGCCGCGUGAGUGAAGAAGGUUUUCGGAUCGUAAAGCUCUGUUGUUAGAGAAGAACGUUGGUAGGAGCGGAAAAUCUACCAAGUGACGGUAACUAACCAGAAAGGGACGGCUAACUACGUGCCAGCAGCCGCGGUAAUACGUAGGUCCCGAGCGUUGUCCGGAUUUAUUGGGCGUAAAGCGAGCGCAGGCGGUUCUUUAAGUCUGAAGUUAAAGUCAGUGGCUUAACCAUUGUACGCUUUGGAAACUGGAGGACUUGAGUGCAGAAGGGGAGAGUGGAAUUCCAUGUGUAGCGGUGAAGUGCGUAGAUAUAUGGAGGAACACCGGUGGCGAAAGCGGCUCUCUAGUCUGUAACUGACGCUGAGGCUCGAAAGCGUGGGGAGCAAACAGG